GUUCUAUUAUGACCAGGUUCCACUGACUACCUUUUUCUUUUGCAUAUGGGUUAACAUUUCCGUGUGUGUGUUUGUGUGUGUGUGUAUGUGUGUGUGUGAUUGUAUGUAUGUACACAUACACUUGUGUGUGUCCAGUGAUUUUUACUGUAUUCUGAACUUGUGAAUAACACGUUGUGUAAGCUAUGGUUUCUAUUAGAAUUCCUCUGAAGAGAUUUCAAUCUAAAUUUCUGUCUUAGCAGACAAUUAACUUGGUUGAAUUCAAAUUCCAUAGCCUGUCUUAGCUGUGGUGAACAACAGCUGAUGUCUCUUUGAACUCUUCCAACCCUAGGUGGGUUGUCUCAUACAUUCAUACUUCAAAGGCAUUGAGAAAUUUACGGUUUAGAUUCUGAAUUUGGAGUUCCUUCUCCUUGGCUCUCUUUUCAUGAUUUCUUUCCUCACUGCUCGGCUGUGGCAAUAGCUCUGAACUUCAUCCUUUGAUUUCCCAAGCCAGUAAGACUGCAGGUUUCUAUCUGACUUCUAGAAUCUGGGCGGUGCCAAGUGGGAUCAAGAAGCCCUCAGGUGAGAAUCUGUGAAGACAGAAAAUUCAUUAGUGUGGAUCACUUCUUUCAAGUGUAGAAGUGUCUGCCUGCUGUAGACCCCUUUUCUGUGCUUUAGAUUGUUAGUUUUAGAUAGUCUUAAAAAAUAUUUUGUCCAGACUUUACAGCUGUUAGUUGCAGAAUAUUUGGUCUUAUACAUAUUAUUCUACCCAUUACCACGUUAGUUCUCUUUUGACUUUGUUUAUGACAUUUCUUUGACAUGCAAACAUUGGUUUGUUUUUGUUUUGUGGUACUGGUGACAGAAACAAGGGACACUAGACCACUGAGCUACACAUCCUGUUCUUUUUUAUUUUUUUGAGACAAGAUCUCAUUAAUUUGCCCAGGCUGACCCCGAACUUGUCAUCCUCCUGCCUCAGCCUCCAGAACUGUGGGGAUUAUAGGUGUGAGCCACUAUGCUCAGCUAUUUUUAUAAAGGUAAAUAUGUCACUAUUUUCUUGUAUUGUUUCUGGAUUUUGUGUCACAGAAAGCCUAUUCUUCACACCCAAAUUAAAGAAAAAUUGACCCAUGUUUCCUUUUAGUGCUUAUGAAGAUUUUGUAAAAUUUUGGAACAUUUUUCCUAACACAUCUGGAAUUUUAUAAAGCAGGAGGUAUGUACCUAAUUUUAUCUUUUUACAAAUAGUUGAUCAGUUAUCUCAGCACUUUUCAUUAAAAAAUCCAUCUUUGUCCCAACGAUAUGAGAAGAGACCUUUAUCGUAUUUCAAAAUUCUCCAGGGUUGGCAUCUAUUUUGAGCUUUUUAUUCUAUUCCACCAGUCUUCAUAGUCACUCACCACUACCUCAUUGUUUUAUUAUAAGACUGCAAUAUAUGUUUUAAUAUAUGGUAGGGUUAGUCCUGCCUUGUAUUUUUUAUUGCUUUUCAAUUUCUGCACAUUUAUUUAUCAUGUAAAUUUUAUUUGGAUUAUAAUUUACAUAUCUUGUAUUGAACCCUUUUAAAGUAUGCAAAUCAAUUUUUUAGCAUAUUCACCAGGUGUUGAAGCCAUCACUGCCAUCAAAUUUUAGAACAUUUUUCUCUCUCCUAAAAGAAACCUUGUACCCAUUAUCAGUCAGUCCCUGUUCCCUGCUCUAUCCUCCUCCCUGUUAUAAGCAAUCACUAAUCAAUCUGUCUCUAUAAAUUUGCCCAUUUUGGAGAUUUCACAUAAAUAUAUCCAUGCAGUAUGUAAUCUUUUGUGACUGCUUGUAUAAAUUUCAGUUUCAACUUACCUAGCUUGAUAAAAAAUGCUUUUUGGCAAUUCUGUUGACAUUUCAUUACCUUUAUAAAUUAAUUUGAGGAGAACUGAUGGCUUUAUGAAGCAGCGUUCCUACCCAAGAACAAGAGUUGCUUUUGCCUUGGUUCAAAUCUACUUUUCUGUCAUCCGGAGUUCGAAGUUUUUCUCAUUUAGAUUUUGUGCGUUUCUUAUUGCUUAUUCCUACAUAUUGUCUUCAUUUCUUAUUGCUGUUUGUAAAUGGGACUUGCUCUAGCAUUAUGUUUGUAACUGGUUGUUGAUGGCAUAUAUGAAGAAUAUGGUUUCUAAAGGUUAAUUUUGUCUUCUUUUACCUUGCCGAGUUAUAUUAUUGAGUUAGUUCUGUUGCUUCUCUAGGUUUUUGCAGGUAAACUCUCAUGCUGUCUGCAAGAAAAAAUCCGUUACUUCCUCUUUUGCACUUCUCUAACUCUUGCAGUUCUCUAAAUGCCUUUCCCUGUCUAUAAGCCUUGGCAACUAUCUGCAAGACAAUGUUGGCAAGAUAGAAAUCAUCCCUACCUUGUUUCUUAUCUUAAUAGAAUGCUUCUAAUAAGAAACAAAUCCUUUCAUUACUAUAUACAUCCUGAAUGGCUUAUUCUUGUUUCAUUAGUGAAUGAAUGUUUAUUCCUCUGCAUCUUGGACUAAUGAUUAACUUCAAAUUUGUGCUUUGAAUUAUUAAAUCUGUUUAUUUCAUAAUGCCAGUGAUAGCAGAUUGCAUAGAGUUGUGUUACAAACUAUGUUAGUGUUCCAAAUCUCUCACAACUUCUUCAACUUGGGUCAUCUACACUUUAAAGAUUUUUGCUUACUCUUUUAUUUAGCGAAGUACUGGGGAUUGAACCCAGGGGUGUUAAUCACUGAGCUACACAUCCUGUUCUUUUUAUUUUGAGACAGGAUCUGGCUAAGUUGCCCAGGCUGGCCUCAAACUUGCAAUCCUCCUGCCUCAGACUCUUGGGUUGCUGGGAUUACAGGCGUGCACAACCAUGCCUGGCUGCUUUUCGCUUAUUCAAGUGAGUAAAACUUUACCUUUUUGGCACAAGUACUCUGGUAUAGUUUAUGGCAGUAUUUAUUAAAGCAAUAUAAUAUGAUCCAGUAAUUUCCUCGGUGUAUAAACUCAGGAAUGAUCACUGUGUCCACCAAAAAACAUGUGCUAGGAUGUUUAUAAAAGUUCUAUUCAUAGCUAAAAAAAAACUAACAGGCAACCCAAAUUCUCAUCAAAAGAAAAAUGGACAUAUAGGGAUAUAUUCAAACAAUGGAAUACCAAGAAUGAACUGUCUAUGCCUCUUUGCAACCAGGUGGAUGAACCUCACAAACAUCAUGAUGAGUGAGAGUAACCAGAAACGAAAACAGCGCUUAUCAUAUGUGUCCAUUAAUACAAGGUCCAAAACAGGUAAGAGGAACCAGUGAUGCCCGGGGUCAUGAAACCGAGAGGGGAAGGAAGUGUAAGAGGGUGGUGGGGGCAAGUGGUGUUCUGCCUCUUGAUCUAGUGCUGAAGUCCUGGUUCUCUUUUCAUCAUGAUUUCUGAACUUUUCUGUAUGUAUAUUAUACUUCCAUUAGAAGCGUAUGUUUUAAAUUAAAACUUUCCACCAAAUUCCAAAAGGAAAAGGUGACCUUUUCCUUUUUAUGGACCUUUAGGAAGGAAGUUGAGAAAGCUGAGAAAAUUCUCAGUUCACUGCACAGCUCUCACUCCCAUCCUCUCCUUCUGGAUCUAUAAAACUGUCUUGCCAGGGUAGAUUGGAGCCUGCGUAUUUAACAUUUGCAUUUCCUUACACACUUUGAAUAUUGCACCGGGAAUUGCUCACUUUGAAGUCGAGGAGCCCUAGCUUCAUAUGGGACUCCUAGUAGAUGCCUCUGUUUUCCAAAGGGAAUAUCCUCUUUUCCUGUGCCCUGAUUGUCCGAACAUAUGGGUCAGAGUUUAUGGCCAGUAACUGUUUUGGGUGAGAGGGCACUUUCAAAUUCACCACAGUCUGAUGUUUAGCAAAAGCCUGGAAGAUUGCCCCAAGGCUGUGGCACAUGUUCACAGGAGUUGGCUGGGAAUGCUGGUCCCUAGACACAGACUGGGCCCCCUGGCCUGUAGGGUUGCUUUUACCUCAUUGCAGUUCCUAGGUCAGACCACCAGACUGAUGUUGCUGAAGACAUGCACUUUGUGACACACUCUGCUUUACAGAACCCUUUAGAGGAGAAAUGCAACCUACUUGAAAAACAGGAAACUGGUCCUUUUCAGCAUGCAAUUUAUUUUUAUCUUAAGAACAUGUAAACCAGGUAAGCUUCUCCUUUCAGUGCUAGCAGUUUGUUUCUUUCUUUUUUUUUUUUAAUUUUAGGUGGACACAAUAUCUUUAUUUUACAUUUAUGUGGUGCUGAGGAUCGAACCCAGUGACCUAGGCGAGCACGCUACCACUGAGCUACAACCCCAGACUGCUUAAAGCCAAAUGUGUUCAGUAUGUACCCAGGGCUUUACCGUAUGCAUGUUUGUAUUUACAAAUCCCGGGCUUCAUUUUGUACCUCUAGACUUAUUUCUUUCCUUCUUUCUUCCUACUAUUCAUUUAUGUUAACUUGGUGCAUAUUCCAUACCUAUUUUUAGAUUGACUUUCAGUGAUGUGCUAGAACGCUUGCUUGCACCUGCUGAAUAUCAUGGAAUGUUGUGAGGCCCUUCUUGAACAGUUGAUAGCUUGAAAUUAGCCACCAUGGGAGUGUUUCCACCAUCCAUAUAGACAAUCACCGCAAAAUACAUCUUUACUUUUUUUCUCCCAGGGAGCUAAUAUACUAGCACACCACUGUUUAUAUCCUUAUGGGAAAGGUAAAGUCAAAAUAAAUGUGUUUUUAAAAUUAUUAUUAUGGGGCUGGGGUUGUGGCUCAGUGGUAGAGCGCUCGCCUCCCACUUGCGAGACCCACAUAAAAAUAAAUGAAUAAAAUAAAGGUGUUGUGUCCAACUACAACUUUAUAUAUAAUUAUUAUGAAUAAUCUACUUAUUUAAAUAUUGUCUAUUAUUUAAGAUCUUUCUCUUAUUCUUUUAAAAGUUUUAAUGAAACAUUUUUAAUGGUUAAAAGAGUGCUUUAAUUUUGACUUCAGGUAGUGUCAGAGACAUAGGGGGCUCUUCAAAUACUGCCAAAAGUUACUGUAGAUGCAGAGUCUGGGUGAUGAGGAAGUUAUUAAUGGCCAAAUACAUGGGAGGAAAUGAUACUCAGAAGAGAGGAAUGGAGUUCUGCUUUUGGCAAGUGGAGAAAGGAGCUGCAGCUGAAAAGCGACAGAAUGGUUAACGGAUCUGGGAUACUUUCGAAAAUGGCAAGAAAGCAGAAAACUGACAAGAAUGUUUUAAAGUAAAAUGAACGGUACUCGAUGGGAUCAUCUCAUUGGGCAGCAAGGUGCAAGCGCUUCUGCAGCUGUCGGAGCGCCCCCAGCAGGUGGGGAGCAUCUUACCACUCGAAAUUUAUUUUUAGUUGAUACAUAAAGACAUAAAAUUGGGGCUGGGGAUGUGGCUCAAGAGGUAGCGCGCUCACCUGGCAUGCGUGUGGCCCGGGUUCGAUCCUCAGCACCACAUACCAACAAAGAUGUUGUGUCUG
RNAcentral lists this long non-coding RNA (5368 nucleotides) under Marmota monax (woodchuck). Lineage: Eukaryota; Metazoa; Chordata; Mammalia; Rodentia; Sciuridae. The record is from RNAcentral.